AAAUUUCUUUAAAACAAGGAGGGGUUAAAAUGGAAAAGAGAAUAAAAUGGAGGGUUGAAACUUGAAUUAAAGGAAAUCUCAUAUUAAACCUAUUAUAAACACUCUUUCCUAGGUAAGCGUGAAGAUAAAAAAAAAAAACCCUAAUUUCUUUUCUUUUUCUUUCCUCUUUCGUCUUCCUGUCAUGUUUCACCAUGGGCAAACAUGACAAGUCGGCCGUCCAGCCAUUUUUGGCGCCACCACUGGUCCCAAACGAAGCAUCAAACUGGUGAUAACAUAGUCCCGUCAUCCACCACCAUUAACGGCCUCUACUUUCAUUGGAAUUGCAACUUGAAGCCACGGACAACCUACACUUUGGGAGCUUGAUCUGGCCACCUCCGACAUCUUCUUGGCAAACAAACUCCGCCAAUGGACUCACUGGAGCAAGGAGCACGUAGGCCAGCCAAGUUCCGGUAGAAACAAUCACCGAAAGUUGCCAACCCUCGUUUGACACGGUUUUUUCCGACUCGUUGACCUGGAGAUCGAGGAGUCGAAGUAGACGCUAUAGAUGUGCAUUUGAUUUGCACUGCAAUCGAGGCAAGUACGAAGAUGGCGGCCAGUUUUCGAGGCGUGAGCGGUUUUCCAUGGAUACAGUCGAGGUUAUGGGUAGUGUAGGGUUGAUAUUAUAAAGACUUCCGCUUUGUUAAAUUUUAAAGACUUAUUAUGUCUUAAUGGAUUUCUAAAUGCAUUUUAUUCAUUUUUUGGGAUUAUAUUAAAUAAUUUUGGAGGAUUUGCUUGGAUAGUUUAUGCUUUGGACAAAUUGGUAAUUCCGCAGACCCCCCUUCCGGGACGGGUCGUUACAGUUGGUAUCGGAGCUUAGGUUCUAGUAUCCUAGGCAGUAUCCAUGGUAUCGCUACGCGUUUCAAGACUGGCCGGUAAGUCAUCGUUUUGGUUUGUGAUGGUUGUGUUGUAUGUAUUUCUCGCUAUUUUAUAGCUUGCUGUAUUAUACUCAUGUGGUAGAGGUUUCAUCAUGAAUGUUCCAAAACAUGAGGAAAAAAAAAAUUCACUUUGUGAUAAGGGAACGAUCUUAAUUGAUACUGAAUGUACUAAAUAAUUGGGAAUUGAGGAUAUCUUUGUUUUCCUAACCCUGUAUGGUAAAACAAUUGAAAGUUACCGUAUUGGUUAGUGCAUUAUUCGAAUUUAUUGGAUGGAUUUGGAUGUGUGGACAUUGUGACGUUGAUUCAAGGUAUUGGAAUGAUCAUAAUAUUUUUUAUGACUAAUCAAUUGUGGAUGGUGGAACAUAUUUGUGGAUAUGGUAUGGAGUGAAAUUGGAUAGAUUAUUUGUGAUAUGAUUAUAUUAUUGAUUACCUAUACAUGGCUAUAUGUAACCAAUUGACUUAAUUGUCUAUUUAGAUGACUCGGUUGUGGUUUUUAGAGUUUGUUGUUGGAUUUUGAGAUGAUUGAAAUUGGUUGUUGGAUUUGAAUGUCAGAUUUUGUUGUGGUUAUUGGAUUAGAUCGAUGGAAUGUAUCAUGUGAAAGAAGUUUUUUAUUGUCCAAUGCUAAAGGAUAGGCUUAAAUUUAAUGGUAGCCGGUAGGUUUCAGUUUGUAAUGAAGUUUAGGCAUAUAUGUCUUAUCGGGGCUUGGCGCGGAUGAUUAUUUUUAGAGGUGAUAUUUUGGGACUUUUUGAUGAAUUGUCUAGUUGAACUAGAUUUAAGUGGUGAUAGUGAUUUGUGAUGAAUUGGGGUCUCUUUAUAAGAUAUUAUGGUUUGAAUUAUUCAUGCCAUCAUAUGAUGAUCUUGAAAUUGCAAUAGUGAUUUGAAGACAAUUAUGGAUGUGGUAUAGGUGCAAACUUCCGAAGUGAAAAUUAUUAGUCUGACAACUUUAAGGGUGAAGAUAGAUUCCCUCUUUUGUUACGUGACUGGUAACUUUAGUUCCGUUUUCUGCACGGCUGAUUUGAUUCUCUGUAGUCGCAUGGAUAUUUAUUUUUUUUUUAAUUUUAUUUUUUUUGAAGAUGUGUUACUUUGAUUUUUCAACUGUGUUCUCUCAUGGGACUGAGACUUUUAUUAUGUGUACUUUAAUUAUGCUUGAAGUUGGGGGUGUUUGGAACCUGGCGUGGAGACCAGGGUAGAUAUUUGAACUUAUUCAGUUGUUGCAAGGGGCUCUACACUAAACACCUGUAUUGGUGUGGUAGAGGGUUACUAAUGAUUUUCGGGGACAUAACUGUAGUGACUUUAUCUUGACCAAAUAAUUUGGUAGGGGGUGUUUUUGUUUUAUUAAGGUACUUGGGGAGUUGUUAGUGGCGGCAAUGGCACGUUGUGGCAUGGAGCUGUCUUUUGGAGAAAAUUUGGGACAUGGGAUUAAGAGUUAGAAAUGUAUGGUGGCCUGAAGUUUGCUUGAUUUUACUUGGUUGGGUCUUUAUGAGUGUUCAUUAAUGGGUGAAUUGUUUAUGAUAGUCCCUGCCUUGCAAGUGGUGUAUAGUUUUGGAGCCAUGUAACUGGUAGUGGAAGCUAUAUAGAAAAUGAAUGAAAGUAUUUAUUUUGUUCUAUGUGAAUAUGGGGAGUAUAAUGCAGUUAGGAAAGUGGCGUACCUAAUGAUGAAUGUGCGGAGGAAAAAUAUAAUGGUAUUGGUAUGUGUCUUGGGAAUUGGUGCUUGGAAGUCGGGGUUAAAUGCAUUGAUUUUGGGCUUUGGGGAUUGACAUGUUUCCAGUGUUUGUGGAAUUGUGACGAUAUAGAGAUAGUUUUUGAUUCUAAAUUGUUGUUUAUUAUGAUACCGGACAGUGGGGCUAUUUUGUUGCCUACGUGAUUUGAGUCGAGUUAUAUCAGUUGGGUUUUAGGCAUUGCAUUUGUAUGCCCUUGACCUUUAGACUGCUGUUCUUUUCGAAUUGUAUAUGCUGUUUGGUGAUCUGGACUUUGAGACCUGUAGUUUGGGCAUUGAUAGAAAAAGAAAAGAAAAAAAAAACGAAUUAAAUUUUGGUGCAAUUAAUUGCCGCGUUUUAUCGGUGGAUUACUAACAUCAAAUGUUGGAUUGUAUGAAAAAAAAAUUCUUUUAGUUUCAUGCAUGAAGUACCGUCAAGUUUGGAAAAAGGCAUGGAAAGCCAUGGUAUUUGUGGCGUUAUUGCCGUUAUGAGGUGGUGAAUUUGAGAAUUCAUUUAUGUUUGGAGUUGGUUAAUUUGGUAUUGUGCAACUGACGAGUUUUGAUGCUGAGAUUAAAUUGUAUUGGGUUAUAGUGGAAAGGUGAAUAGCAUUUAGGUGAAGCUCAAUCUCAUACUUAGUGUUUCAUUUGGAAUUUUGUUUAGUGGAUGUUGUCAGGUGUGCUAAUUCGUUGGGUUAUAUAUCUGCUUUUGCUCUUGAGCAAUAUCCUUUGUUGGGCCUUUGACUUAUAGUUAUACUUUGUUCUCGGUUGAUUUGGUUUUGCCACGGGGGUAUACCCACGUGGUUGCCCUAAAUUUGUUUGGGGUUAUGAACAGUUCCUGCUAUUCAGCAGGAUAUAGGAAAUACUACAAUAUUUUCAUUUUAGUUUGAAUUUGAGUAGUGAUUGGUUCAUAGAUUUCACAUUCCGUUAUUAUGAUUUAUUUUGUGCUUGCUUCGAGUUUGGGAGUUAACCCAUCGAAAUUUUGCGAUUCUCGAGUUCAUGUAGGGAUGGUAUUGUGUGUGUGAUACGAUUGUUAUGGUAUGUUGGGUUCGUAAACUCUGAAUUUCAAGUUGAACUUGUUAUAGUUGUGUAAACAGUUUUGGGUGGCGGUCGCUUUUGGGCUGAUUUGGUUGCGAUAGAGAUUGCUGCUUUCGACAUCAUCCUCGUGAUGAACUAGUGUUCGAGGUUCGGACAAUAUUAGAAUUUUACAAAAAGAAAUUCAUUUUGGUAACAUCUCAGAGAUGAAUUAUUCGAGUUAAAGACAGAACGUUCUUGGGAUUGGUCAAAAAUAUGGGAGAAUUACUCGACGUAAUUCAACGAUUUGAGUAUGGAAUAAAUUUCGAGGACAAAAUUUUAUUUAAGGGGGGUAGAAUGUAAAAUCCCAGACUUUUGUAAGUGGUAAUUGAAAUUUCUUUAAAACAAGGAGGGGUUAAAAUGGAAAAGAGAAUAAAAUGGAGGGUUGAAAGUUGAAUUAAAGGAAAUCUCAUAUUAAACCUAUUAUAAACUCUCUUUCCUAGGUAAGCGUGAAAAUAAAAAAAAAAACCCUAAUUUCUUUUCCUUUCUUUCCUCUUUCUUCUUCCUGUCAUGUUUCACCAUGGGCAAACAUGACAAGUCGGCCGUCCAGCCAUUUUUGGCGCCACCACUGGUCCCAAACGAAGCAUCAAACUGGUGAUAACAUAGUCCCGUCAUCCACCACCAUUAACGGCCUCUACUUUCAUUGGAAUUGCAACUUGAAGCCACGGACAACCUACACUUUGGGAGCCUGAUCCGGCCACCUCCAACAUCUUCUUGGCAGACAAACUCCGCCAAUGGACUCACUGGAGCAAGGAGCACGUAGGCCAGCCAAGUUCCGGUAGAAACAAUCACCGAAAGUUGCCAACCCUCGUUUGACACGGUUUUUUCCGACUCGUUGACCUGGAGAUCGAGAAGUCGAAGUAGACGCUAUAGAUGUGCAUUUGAUUUGCACUGCAAUCGAGGCAAGUACGAAAAUGGCGGCCAGUUUUCGAGGCGUGAGCGGUUUUCCAUGGAUACAGUCGAGGUUAUGGGUAGUGUAGGGUUGAUAUUAUAAAGACUUCCGCUUUGUUAAAUUUUAAAGACUUAUUAAUUAUGUCUUAAUGGAUUUCUAAAUGCAUUUUAUUCAAUUUUUGGGAUUAUAUUAAAUAAUUUUGAAGGAUUUGCUUGGAUAGUUUAUGCUUUGGACAAAUUGGUAAUUCCGCAGACCCCCCCUUUCGGGACGGGUCGUUACAAAACUUGUAAUAGUAAUACAAUGUUAUAAGCAUAUUUAUAUAUGUCAUGCUCAAAUUCGGAA
This is a long non-coding RNA of Tripterygium wilfordii, 4915 nucleotides long. RefSeq lists it as uncharacterized. The record is from RefSeq and is a predicted model, not a curated record. The transcript is spliced from 5 exons. NCBI's taxonomy places the organism in Eukaryota, Viridiplantae, Streptophyta, Magnoliopsida, Celastrales, Celastraceae.